AUUGAACGCUGGCGGCAUGCUUUACACAUGCAAGUCGAGCGGCAGCGCGGGGGCAACCCUGGCGGCGAGCGGCGAACGGGUGAGUAAUGCAUCGGAACGUAUCCUCGAGUGGGGGAUAACCCAGCGAAAGUUGGGCUAAUACCGCAUGAGCUCUGAGGAGGAAAGCGGGGGACCUGCGAGGGCCUCGCGCUGGAGGAGCGGCCGAUGUCCGAUUAGCUAGUUGGUGGGGUAAAGGCUUACCAAGGCGACGAUCGGUAGCUGGUCUGAGAGGAUGAUCAGCCACGCUGGGACUGAGACACGGCCCAGACUCCUACGGGAGGCAGCAGUGGGGAAUUUUGGACAAUGGGGGCAACCCUGAUCCAGCCAUGCCGCGUGAGUGAAGAAGGCCUUCGGGUUGUAAAGCUCUUUCGGACGGAACGAAAUGGGCGGGACUAAUACUCCUGUCUGAUGACGGUACCGUAAGAAGAAGCACCGGCUAACUACGUG
RNAcentral lists this ribosomal RNA (486 nucleotides) under uncultured bacterium. Its description in RNAcentral is "partial 16S ribosomal RNA". It matches the Rfam family "Bacterial small subunit ribosomal RNA", at positions 29 to 507 of the family's 1533-position model. The record is from RNAcentral.